UUGUAAGAACAACUCGACAGGUUAAACAGCUGAGGAAAGGACUGAAAGAGACAUUGGUCUGGCCUCUCCUGAAGGAAAGAAGUGAUAUUAUUCCACUGAUGUUUCCAAGGGCCUCUGACACACUAUACACCUCCCAGAUGAUCCUUGAAAGACUCACCUGGCCCACACUGAAUGUGGCGGAAGAUGAUGAUGAUGAUGAUGAUGAUGAUGAUGAUGACUGUUCUCUUGAGACUAAAUGCCGUAUCACAGGCUUCUUCAGGACAUUCAUUGAGAUGCAUCACCAAGAGCGCUGAUUGAUCUCCUCAGAUUCUGGGUUGGAUGGGAGGUCCUCCCGAAGGAGCUGUCUGUUGAGGUCACAGAUACCAAACUGCCCAAAGCAUCCACCUGCUUCGAAACCAUUAAAUUACCCAGACACGACUUUCACUACUCAUCAUUUGAGGAGGAUCUUCUUUCCUGUAUACGUACUGUGGACACUGGCUUUGGACUUGUCUAAUUUAGAAUUCUGCCAUGAGAAAUCUGUUUGAACUCCUUCAGGGGCCAAUUAAAAUACACAACAUAUUUGAUUUGACAACUAGAAAUAUAAACAUGACAAAGUAAAAAAAAAUGUUCUGCUAUAUUAUUAUUAUUAUUAUUAUUAUUAUUUAUUUCUUAGCAGAUGCCAUUAUCCAGGGCGACUUACAGUUGUAAACAAAAAUACAUUUAAGGAAUCACAGUACAAGUAAUAAUACAAUUAUGUAAAUACUAAAUGUACUAAGAAAGAAAUUCAAAUGAACGACUGGCAAUUUUAUUAGGCCAUUUUAUUAUUUUGAUUACAAUAAAUAAUGCACUGAUUCUCAAAAUGUUUCUUUUUUUGGGGGGGGGGAACAACACUUUUUUUUUCUUUUAAAAUACUUGCUUAUGUUUGUGAAAACAUCUGUUAAAUAUCAACAUAAGCACAGGUACUAUUGUCAUUUAUUUAACAAAGUCAGUGCUAUGCAGACUCAGUGACAAAAAAUACAGCUGUCCCAAACAAUAAAAACAAUCGUCAAA
Long non-coding RNA from Acipenser ruthenus (sterlet), 1029 nucleotides. RefSeq lists it as uncharacterized. The record is from RefSeq and is a predicted model, not a curated record. NCBI's taxonomy places the organism in Eukaryota, Metazoa, Chordata, Actinopteri, Acipenseriformes, Acipenseridae. The transcript has 3 exons.